RNAcentral lists this transfer RNA (107 nucleotides) under Ornithorhynchus anatinus (platypus). It matches the Rfam family "tRNA". Rfam says of the family: Transfer RNA (tRNA) molecules are approximately 80 nucleotides in length. Lineage: Eukaryota; Metazoa; Chordata; Mammalia; Monotremata; Ornithorhynchidae. The record is from Rfam by way of RNAcentral.
GUCACGAUGGCCAAGUGGUCUACGGCACCAACCUAAAGCUCCGUCCUCCCUUUGUUGGGGGUUCCGAUCGCCACACAGAGGUGUGGGUUCCAAUCCCACUUCUGACA